This is a non-coding RNA of Mycena olivaceomarginata, 88 nucleotides long. NCBI's taxonomy places the organism in Eukaryota, Fungi, Basidiomycota, Agaricomycetes, Agaricales, Mycenaceae. The record is from the annotation of a GenBank genome assembly.
GCACCCUUGGUGUAUGGAAACACAUCUUUGAAUUGAUGAUGUUUGAUGUGAAUCAAGAUGAGUCCGGGGUUCGAAUCCCGAGGGUGCA